UGAGCAGGGGCGUAAGGGUGUGUAGGCCGACCGCCCCACCCCCCCCCAAGGUGGUAAAUGGAAUUCUGUAGCGGUAGAAUGUGCGGAUAGAAAAUAGAACCCCAAAAGCUGAAGCAAUUUACCGCGGGGCGGGAGGGGGGGCCCCCUGGGGCGCCCCCCCGGGCUACGGGCUGAAACACGAGGGUGUGGGGAACAAACAGGAUUAGAGACCCUGGUAGUCCACACUGUAAACGAUGGAGAAAAUGCGAAUGCACCCCGAAAGGCACAAUCUCCCGCCUGAGUAGUACGAUCGCAAGAUUAAAAUUCCAAAAAUUUGGCUGUUCACCGUUUCAUUAGAGGAGCGUGUAGUUUAAUUCGAUAAACCGCGAGAUACCUUACCCAAACUUGAAUCCUUGAGGAUUCCAAGGAAUCCUUAUGGACCGGUAUUGCAUGGCCGUCGUCAGUUCGUGUAUGAAACCUUAAACGGACCCAACCCGAGGAUUAGCCGCGGAUGAAGUCAGGUCUUAUGGUCCCAAUGUUUGGGGAUAAUAUGCGCUCAUUUUCUUAUACAAUGGGAAACCUGGGAGGUGAAACCCAAAAGUGAGAGUUCGGUAGGCUAUUGGAAGAUGGCCGAAAGUUGAAUUAAUAGUAAUCGAA
This 636-nucleotide ribosomal RNA is filed under the name Palythoa mutuki. RNAcentral's name for it is "partial 12S ribosomal RNA". It matches the Rfam family "Bacterial small subunit ribosomal RNA", at positions 547 to 1346 of the family's 1533-position model. Lineage: Eukaryota; Metazoa; Cnidaria; Anthozoa; Zoantharia; Sphenopidae. The record is from RNAcentral.